AAGCGGCUGUGGAGUGUAUAGAAGUGAGAAUGCCGGAAUGAGUAGCGCGAAUGCAGUGAGAAUCUGCAUGGCCGAAAGCCUCAGGUUUCUGGAGGAAGGUUCGUCCGCUCCAGGUUAGUCGGGAGCUAAGGUGAGGCCGGAAGGCGUAGCCGAUGCACAGACGGUAGAGAUUCCGUCACCACCAAAAGAGUUAAGCACAGGGACACAUAUGAAGUCUCAGAGCCGGGUGUUGGUUCCGGUAGAGAUCGAGGGAAAUUAGUACCGAAGUCUGAGAUGGAAGAUGGCGAGAAAAGCUGUGUGUAUUUCUGAGGUGCCCGUACCGCAAACCGACACAGGUAGGUAGGAAGAAGAUUCUAAGGCCAACGGGAGAAGGGUUGUUAAGGAACUCGGCAAAUUGACCCCGUAACUUCGGGAGAAGGGGUGCUCCAGAGAUGGAGCCGCAGAGAAUCGGCCCAAGCAACUGUUUACCAAAAACACAGGUUUGUGCUAAAUCGAAAGAUGACGUAUACGAGCUGACGCCUGCCCGGUGCUGGAAGGUUAAGAGGAGAUGUGCAAGCAUUGAAUCGAAGCCCCAGUGAACGGCGGCCGUAACUAUAACGGUCCUAAGGUAGCGAAAUUCCUUGUCAGGUAAGUUCUGACCCGCAUGAAAGGCGUAAUGAUUUGGGCACUGUCUCAACAGCCCGCCCGGCGAAAUUGUAGUACCGGUGAAGAUGCCGGUUACCCGCGACAAGACGGAAAGACCCCAUGGAGCUUUACUGUAGCCUAAUAUUGGGUUUCGAUGUUGCAUGCACAGGAUAGAUGGGACUCUGGGAAACCAAGGCUUUGGCUUUGGCGGAGAGGCCGUUGGGAUACCAUCCUUGCGAUAUUGGAAUUCUAACCUGCGGCUCUGAAUCGAGUCGGGGGACAUUGUUAGGUGGGCAGUUUGACUGGGGCGGUCGCCUCCUAAAGAGUAACGGAGGCGUUCAAAGGUUCGCUCAGCUUGAACGGAAAUCAAGCAAAAGAGUGCAAACGCAGAAGCGAGCCUAACUGCGAGACUGACGGGUCGAGCAGUAACGAAAGUUGGAGUUAGUGAUCCGGUGGUAUGUGAGUGGAAAUGCCAUCGCUCAACGGAUAAAAGUUACCCUGGGGAUAACAGGCUGAUCUCCCCCAAGAGUCCACAUCGACGGGGAGGUUUGGCACCUCGAUGUCGGCUCAUCGCAUCCUGGGGCUGUAUUCGGUCCCAAGGGUUUGGCUGUUCGCCAAUUAAAGCGGUACGCGAGCUGGGUUCAGAACGUCGUGAGACAGUUCGGUCCCUAUCUGUCGUGGGCGCAGGAUAUUUGAUGGGAGCUGUCCCUAGUACGAGAGGACCGGGACGGACGUACCUCUGGCGCACCAGUUGUUCCGCCAGGAGCAUAGCUGGGCAACUACGUACGGAUCGGAUAAACGCUGAAAGCAUCUAAGCGUGAAGCCGACCCAAAGAUAAGAUAUCCCACUGAUUCAAUCAGGUAAGAUCCCUUGUAGACUACGAGGUUGAUAGGCACGAUGUGUAAGUGGAGUGAUCCAUUCAGCAAGUGUGUACUAAUAGAUCGAGGGCUUGACCAC
Molecule: ribosomal RNA, 1581 nt
Filed under: Faecalibacterium sp. Marseille-Q4137
Lineage: Bacteria; Bacillati; Bacillota; Clostridia; Eubacteriales; Oscillospiraceae
Description: partial 23S ribosomal RNA
Rfam family: Bacterial large subunit ribosomal RNA
Source: RNAcentral